This is a non-coding RNA of Camelina sativa (false flax), 529 nucleotides long. Lineage: Eukaryota; Viridiplantae; Streptophyta; Magnoliopsida; Brassicales; Brassicaceae. The record is from RefSeq and is a predicted model, not a curated record.
CGAAUCAGUAAUGGUUUCUCAGAAGAUGGUGACAAUCGCCGAAACUCAAGAAGCUCAGUAGCAUCAGCUUCAAAUGCUUCUCAAGUUGAGGCAGAGUGGAUCGAACAGUACGAACCUGGUGUUUAUAUAACACUAUUGGCCCUAGGCGAUGGAACAAGAGAUCUCAAACGUGUGCGGUUUAGCCGGAGAAGGUUCAAGGAGCAACAGGCAGAGGUAUGGUGGUCUGAGAAUCGCGAAAGAGUGUAUGAGAAGUACAACAUUCGCGGUACCGAUAGAGCAAGCGUGGCAACAUCACCUCUAUCCCAAUCACAAUUCCAGACAUGAACCCAAAACAGUUAAAAGCAUAGGAAGCAGUUAGCCUUAUUCUGAGUUCCACUCUCAGGCAUUAAUUACACUGUAUAUAGAUAAUCUCUGGCGUUGUUUUGCAAAGAGUUUGUCGUGAAUUUCCAUUUACGUAUUGUUUAAAAACUAAUUGAGAUAACAUCUUCUGAUUGAUUAGCCAACUUCACGCCUUGAAGCGUUUUUUCUC